GAUGAAGAACGUAGCGAAAUGCGAUAAGUAGUGUGAAUUGCAGAAUUCAGUGAAUCAUCGAAUCUUUGAACGCACAUUGCGCCCCUUGGUAUCCCGAGGGGCAUGCCUGUUCGAGCGUCAUUUCACCACUCAAGCCUGGCUUGGUGUUGGGCGACGUCCCCUUUAGGGACGCGCCUCGAAACGCUCGGCGGCGUGGCACCGGCUUUAAGCGUAGCAGAAUCUUUCGCUUUGGAAGUCGGGGCCCCGCCUGCCGGAAUACCUACUCGUAAGGUUGACCUCGUAUCAGGCAGGGAUACCCGCUGAACUUAAGCAUAUCAAUAAGCGGAGGA
This 329-nucleotide unclassified non-coding RNA is filed under the name soil metagenome. RNAcentral's name for it is "partial contains 5.8S ribosomal RNA, internal transcribed spacer 2, and large subunit ribosomal RNA". The stretch from base 1 to 120 matches the Rfam family "5.8S ribosomal RNA", at positions 35 to 154 of the family's 154-position model. The record is from RNAcentral.